Molecule: long non-coding RNA, 707 nt
Organism: Toxotes jaculatrix (banded archerfish)
Lineage: Eukaryota; Metazoa; Chordata; Actinopteri; Toxotidae
Exons: 3
Source: RefSeq, a predicted model, not a curated record
AACACAUCAGAGCAGCAGCAACAGCCUCAAAAGUCCCUGUAAUGGUCUGCGAGAGUCCGGAGCACAACUUCACAUUUUUAAGGCUCAGAGAGGCGGCCUGGCUGCUGGUCGAGGUGCUCCGAACAUAUCCUGUGAGGCGUAGGUGAUGUAGAGGAAGCCAUCAGCGUCUCUGUAGCGGGAGUAAACCUCCCCCAUGCUGGAGGACAUGCAGGACAUGCUCUUCUCUGCCACCAGGAGGAACAAAGCCUGGGUAGAGUCCAAGGCAAUCUUAUUCCUGAGAGGAAGGACAAAGUAGGGAGAGAGUACGAGACAGUGAAAGUUGUGGAGACGCUGAGAGAGAACAAUGACAAAUCUGACAAAUCGGGGGACAAAACGUAGCUGAGGGAGGGUUGAAAUGAGAAGAAAAGGGCUGGAAAUAUUAGAAACGAGUAGUCACAGAUCACUUACCUGAGCAGGCACAGGAACUGACCCAAGGUGAGCUCGAAGGGAACCAAGAACUUUGUUUUGUCCAACAGGGGGAGAGUCUUUUCACGGGUGUAACGUUCAACAAUUACCUGGACACAAAAACACACCUGUGAUCAGCUGAUGGUGCAGUCGCACCCAGAAAAAAAGGGCAUCAUCUCCAUGGAUUUCUCAAAAGGAGCCAUGUUUGUUUGUUCCUCGGGGAGGUUCGCAGAGACCAGUGGUGAUGGAGGCGUGUGCAGCUG